GACGAACGCUGGCGGCGUGCUUAACACAUGCAAGUCGAACGGAAAGGCCCUGCUUUUGUGGUGUUCCCGAGUGGCGAACGGGGGAGUGACACGUGAGUAACCGGCCCUUGAUUUUGGGAUAACUUCAGGUAACUGGGGCUAAUAUCGUAUAGGAUCUCCUGUUGCAUGGUGGGGGGUGGAAAGUUUCGGCGGUUGGGGAUGGACUCGCGGCUUAUGAGCUUGUUGGUGGGGUAGUGGCUUACCAAGGAUUUGACGGGUAGCCGGCCUGAGAGGGUGACCGGCCACAUUGGGACUGAGAUACGGCCCAGACUCCUACGGGAGGCAGCAGUGGGGAAUAUUGCACAAUGGGCGGAAGCCUGAUGCAGCAACGCCGCGUGCGGGAUGACGGCCUUCGGGUUGUAAACCGCUUUCGCCUGUGACGAAGCGUGAGUGACGGUAAUGGGUAAAGAAGCACCGGCUAACUACGUG
RNAcentral lists this ribosomal RNA (468 nucleotides) under uncultured bacterium. RNAcentral describes it as "partial 16S ribosomal RNA". It matches the Rfam family "Bacterial small subunit ribosomal RNA", at positions 28 to 507 of the family's 1533-position model. The record is from RNAcentral.